This 320-nucleotide ribosomal RNA is filed under the name uncultured Bacteroidales bacterium. Its description in RNAcentral is "bacterial SSU rRNA". It matches the Rfam family "Bacterial small subunit ribosomal RNA", at positions 28 to 339 of the family's 1533-position model. Lineage: Bacteria; Pseudomonadati; Bacteroidota; Bacteroidia; Bacteroidales. The record is from RNAcentral.
GAUGAACGCUAGCUACAGGCUUAACACAUGCAAGUCGAGGGGCAGCAGGACGAUAGCUUGCUAUUGUCGCUGGCGACCGGCGCACGGGUGCGUAACGCGUAUGCAACCUACCCACUACAGGGGGAUAACGGAGGGAAACUUCCACUAAUAUCCCAUAGUGUUGUUUUUUCGCAUGGAGAGACAACUAAAGCUUCGGUGGUAGUGGAUGGGCAUGCGUGACAUUAGGUAGUUGGCGGGGCAACGGCCCACCAAGCCGACGAUGUCUAGGGGAGCUGAGAGGCUUAUCCCCCACACUGGUACUGAGACACGGACCAGACUCC